RNAcentral lists this unclassified non-coding RNA (322 nucleotides) under Hevea brasiliensis (rubber tree). Lineage: Eukaryota; Viridiplantae; Streptophyta; Magnoliopsida; Malpighiales; Euphorbiaceae. The record is from RNAcentral.
GGCGUUUACGAAACACACUAGAAAACAGCCGGUGCGCACUGGAGGUGAUUAGCUUCUGUGCCGGAUCGACAAGCUUAGAAAGCCAUCCUUUUCCAGCAGAGUUCCUCAGAGCAGUCGGCGGUCGAUCAUACGGCGUCGUAUGCGACCUUCUGAUAGGCCUUUUCUGAAACUUCCCACCUCUUCCUCCUUCGUAUCGAACCUCCUCACGCUCUGUCGCCAUUAACAACACAGAGUUGAGGGCUUCUCUUCAAUGGCGGAAUACAGAGGAAAUUGUUGAAAGGGGGAGAAAGAAAGUAAGGUAUUGAGCAAAUUAGGGUUUUUA